Molecule: non-coding RNA, 28 nt
Filed under: Mus musculus (house mouse)
Lineage: Eukaryota; Metazoa; Chordata; Mammalia; Rodentia; Muridae
Source: RNAcentral
UGNGACCUCACUCAAAGCUCUGUGCCUA